Long non-coding RNA from Homo sapiens (human), 1158 nucleotides. NCBI's taxonomy places the organism in Eukaryota, Metazoa, Chordata, Mammalia, Primates, Hominidae. The record is from Ensembl.
AGAGAUCAAAGCCCCCAUCCACACAGUGGGCUGAAUAUGGAUCCAUGCAGCGAUCUGGUCCUGGUGCUGUGGAAUCAGCUUUGCACAAGGCCCCAGAAGGUCUGCGUUCCAGAGCCUUCCUGUUGGGGCCUCAGUCUUCUCAUCUGAAAAAUGGGAGCAAACUCAGUUCUGCCAUGCCCAGUGUGGGUGUGAUGUCACAUCAGAUGGAGUCUCGCUCUGUCACCCAGGCUGAAGUGCAAUGGCAAGAUCUCAGCUCACUGCAACCUCCACCUCCCAGUUUCAAGCGAUUCUUGUGCCUCAGCCUCUGGAGUAGCUGGGAUUACAGGUGCCCACCACCACACCUGGCUGAUUUUUGUAUUUUUAGUAGAGACGGGGUUUCACCAUGUUGGUCAGGCUGGUCUCAAACUCCUGACCUCAAGUGUUCUGCCUGCCUUGGCCUCUCAAAGUGCUGGGAUUACAGGCCUGAGCCACUGUGCCCGACCACCAUGUUGUAUUGUUACUGUUACUGCUCUCCUGUCCUGCACCUGCCCUGCCUGCCUCCCUUGGCUGGGCUGUAAAACCUUGAGGGGUAACGUAUCUUAUUCAUGUUUCUUGUCCUGGUACCAGCACAGCAACUGACAUGGAUGGGGGGUUAGGGGCUCAGAAAGCAUUGCCCUAAAAUAUGGCGCUCUGACAUGAAGCAGCCUCAAGGUCUAUCUGACCUCCCUGCCUCCUUCUCUGAAUCCUCUGUCUCUCUCAAAGUGCAGGAUGACGCUGUUCUCUGAAGUUUCUUUAUCUGCCUAGAAACGGGACCUGCCAAAGGGGAACACAAUUACCUUCCCUGGAAUAUCAUUAGCUAGAGGUUAAAACUCAUAUCCUAGAGGAUAUGAGACUGAACAUUAAACACCACACCUACAGCCCAGAUAAACUUCAUCCCAAACCAUUAUCUGCUCUCUUUCCCUUUCAAUGUCCAAAGAAAUUAUUAAUUAUCAUCUGGACGCUGGACUCAUUCAUUUCCCCCCUAAAAACCAUUGACUGUCCUUCAAAUUGCCACGUGUCCCCCAUCUCUCCUUCCCCCGUGAAGAAGGGCGCAUGCACCUGUACCCCACUGGGUUAUUGGGUAACUUCUGUGAUUCCCUCAUGCUCUGCACGUUGAAAUAAAUUUUGUCUUUUCUCCAA